Molecule: small nuclear RNA, 104 nt
Organism: Cricetulus griseus (Chinese hamster)
Lineage: Eukaryota; Metazoa; Chordata; Mammalia; Rodentia; Cricetidae
Source: Ensembl
AUGCUCACUUCGGCAGCACAUAUACUACAAUUGAACAAUACAGAGAUUAGCAUGACCCCCUGUGCAAGGAUGACACGCAAAUUCAUGAAGUGUUCCAUAUUUUA